GGCCUCGUGGCCCAAUGGCAAGGCGUCUGACUACGAUAGAGAUCGAGCAAUACAGUUCGGCCUUUCACGAUAAUCAGGAGAUUCUGGGUUCGACCCCCAGCGAGGUCA
RNAcentral lists this transfer RNA (108 nucleotides) under Rosellinia necatrix. It matches the Rfam family "tRNA". From Rfam's summary of the family: Transfer RNA (tRNA) molecules are approximately 80 nucleotides in length. Their secondary structure includes four short double-helical elements and three loops (D, anti-codon, and T loops). The record is from Rfam by way of RNAcentral. Lineage: Eukaryota; Fungi; Ascomycota; Sordariomycetes; Xylariales; Xylariaceae.